This 524-nucleotide ribosomal RNA is filed under the name uncultured bacterium. RNAcentral describes it as "partial 16S ribosomal RNA". It matches the Rfam family "Bacterial small subunit ribosomal RNA", at positions 355 to 869 of the family's 1533-position model. The record is from RNAcentral.
UAGGGAAUCUUCCACAAUGGACGCAAGUCUGAUGGAGCAACGGCCGCGUGAGUGAAGAAGGUUUUCGGACCGUAAAGCUCUGUUGUUGGUGAAGAAGGAUAGAGGUAGUAACUGGCCUUUAUUUGACGGUAAUCAACCAGAAAGUCACGGCUAACUACGUGCCAGCAGCCGCGGUAAUACGUAGGUGGCAAGCGUUGUCCGGAUUUAUUGGGCGUAAAGCGAGCGCAGGCGGAAGAAUAAGUCUGAUGUGAAAGCCCUCGGCUUAACCGAGGAAUUGCAUCGGAAACUGUUUUUCUUGAGUGCAGAAGAGGAGAGUAGAACUCCAUGUGUAGCGGUGGAAUGCGUAGAUAUAUGGAAGAAUACCAGUGGCGAAGGCGGCUCUCUGGUCUGCAACUGACGCUGAGGCUCGAAAGCAUGGGUAGCGAACAGGAUUAGAUACCCUGGUAGUCCAUGCCGUAAACGAUGAGUGCUAAGUGUUGGGAGGCUUCCGCCUCUCAGUGCUGCAGCUAACGCAUUAAGCACUC